This 491-nucleotide ribosomal RNA is filed under the name uncultured bacterium. RNAcentral describes it as "partial 16S ribosomal RNA". It matches the Rfam family "Bacterial small subunit ribosomal RNA", at positions 28 to 507 of the family's 1533-position model. The record is from RNAcentral.
GAUGAACGCUGUCUACAGGCUUAACACAUGCGAGUCGAGGGGAAACGACGGGGAAGCUUGCUUCCCCGGGCGUCGACCGGCGCACGGGUGGGUAACGCGUAUCCAACCUGCCUCUGACUGAGGGAUAACCCGUCGAAAGUCGGCCUAAUACCUCAUGGCAUCGUCUGCGGGCAUCCAACGACGAUUAAAGAUUUCAUCGGUCAGGGAUGGGGAUGCGUCUGAUUAGCUUGUUGGCGGGGUAACGGCCCACCAAGGCUACGAUCAGUAGGGGUUCUGAGAGGAAGGUCCCCCACAUUGGAACUGAGACACGGUCCAAACUCCUACGGGAGGCAGCAGUGAGGAAUAUUGGUCAAUGGGCGGGAGCCUGAACCAGCCAAGUAGCGUGCAGGAUGACGGCCCUAUGGGUCGUAAACUGCUUUUAGGCGGGGAUAAAGUGAGGGACGUGUCCUUCAUUGCAGGUACCGCAUGAAUAAGGACCGGCUAAUUCCGUG